AGGAAAAGAUAAACAAAACAAAACAAAAAAAAAAAAAACUAAAAACAUUAUAUAUAUAUUUAGUACUGCAUGUCUCUCUGCCUUGAAAGUAAUCUCUAUAAAGAGGACUACAGGUUUAGCUCAUUUUAAGCGCAUUGCAAGCUCGGUAUUGAAAGAAGUUGGCACCUUUAAGCAUACUCAGGAGAUCAGAGCGAGAGAGAUGCCUCCACCACGGGGAGGGCCGGGAGGGCCUGGAGGGCCGGGAUGCCCUGGCUGUGGUUGCUUUGAUUUUCUCUGCGGUGGUAUAUGCCGCCUUUUAUCAUCCUGCUUCUACGUGCUGUGCUGCUGCUGCAUCUUUGAGAACUGCUGUGGACCCUUAUUUGGUGGCCCUGGUGGUCCUGGUGGUGGCCAUGGUGGUCCUGGUGGUGGCCAUGGUGGUGGACCCCCAAGGUUCUGAUGAUCAGCUAAUUCCCAUUACCUUGUUGUAAAUUAUAAUACCAUGCAUGAGGAGAGAAUAAAAAGUUAAGCUGAGCUGAUCUAAUUAUGUGGUUGUACUAGUUUUUUUUUUUUUUUUUUUUUAUCAAUGUAUUCAGUAUUCAUCUCUGGUUGGUGGUUGGGAAUGUGAGAAAAACAGUGCCAAUACCAGUUAGUUUUGGGCUCUGGUUUGAGACUAAACUCAGUACACUCUGUUUAUUGGCAAUUAUUUGGAGAAGUACACUGACCAUAUUGCUUGGAAAUCA
Molecule: long non-coding RNA, 719 nt
Organism: Juglans regia (Persian walnut)
Lineage: Eukaryota; Viridiplantae; Streptophyta; Magnoliopsida; Fagales; Juglandaceae
Exons: 2
Source: RefSeq, a predicted model, not a curated record